RNAcentral lists this ribosomal RNA (305 nucleotides) under uncultured bacterium. RNAcentral describes it as "bacterial SSU rRNA". It matches the Rfam family "Bacterial small subunit ribosomal RNA", at positions 334 to 657 of the family's 1533-position model. The record is from RNAcentral.
GUGCCUACGGGGCGCAGCAGUGAGGGAUAUUGGUCAAUGGGGGAAACCCUGAACCAGCAACGCCGCGUGAGGGAAGACGGUUUUCGGAUUGUAAACCUCUGUCCUCUGUGAAGAUGAUGACGGUAGCAGAGGAGGAAGCUCCGGCUAACUACGUGCCAGCAGCCGCGGUAAUACGUAGGGAGCGAGCGUUGUCCGGAUUUACAGGGUGUAAAGGGUGCGUAGGCGGCUGUGCAAGUCAGUAGUGAAAUCCAUGGGCUUAACCCAUGAACUGCUAUUGAAACUGCACAGCUUGAGUGAAGUAGAGG